RNAcentral lists this small RNA (125 nucleotides) under Marmota monax (woodchuck). Lineage: Eukaryota; Metazoa; Chordata; Mammalia; Rodentia; Sciuridae. The record is from RNAcentral.
GCUGAGCGCGGUGGUGCACGCCUGUAAUCCCAGUGGCUUAGAAGGCAGAGGCAGGAGGAUCACGAGCUCAAAGCCGGCCUCAGCAAUGGCAAGGUGCUAAGCAACUCAGUGAGCCCCUGUCUCUA